Molecule: transfer RNA, 72 nt
Filed under: Camelus bactrianus (Bactrian camel)
Lineage: Eukaryota; Metazoa; Chordata; Mammalia; Artiodactyla; Camelidae
Also listed under: 2 other names
Rfam family: tRNA
About the family: Transfer RNA (tRNA) molecules are approximately 80 nucleotides in length. Their secondary structure includes four short double-helical elements and three loops (D, anti-codon, and T loops). Further hydrogen bonds mediate the characteristic L-shaped molecular structure. tRNAs have two regions of fundamental functional importance: the anti-codon, which is responsible for specific mRNA codon recognition, and the 3' end, to which the tRNAs corresponding amino acid is attached (by aminoacyl-tRNA synthetases). tRNAs cope with the degeneracy of the genetic code in two manners: having more than one tRNA (with a specific anti-codon) for a particular amino acid; and 'wobble' base-pairing, i.e. permitting non-standard base-pairing at the 3rd anti-codon position.
Source: Rfam by way of RNAcentral
GAGGGUAUAGCUCAGUGGUAGAGUACAUGCCUAGCAUGCACGAGGUCCUGGGUUCAAUCCUCAGUACCUCCA